ACGUCCGGGGCUACACACGUGUUACAAUGGGGGGUACAGAGGGCCGCUACCACGCGAGUGGAUGCCAAUCCCCAAAACCUCUCUCAGUUCGGACUGGAGUCUGCAACCCGACUCCACGAAGCUGGAUUCGCUAGUAAUCGCGCAUCAGCCACGGCGCGGUGAAUACGUUCCCGGGCCUUGUACACACCGCCCGUCAAACCAUGGGAGCCGGGGGUACCUGAAGUGCGUAAC
RNAcentral lists this ribosomal RNA (231 nucleotides) under Escherichia coli. RNAcentral's name for it is "partial 16S ribosomal RNA". It matches the Rfam family "Bacterial small subunit ribosomal RNA", at positions 1204 to 1434 of the family's 1533-position model. Lineage: Bacteria; Pseudomonadati; Pseudomonadota; Gammaproteobacteria; Enterobacterales; Enterobacteriaceae. The record is from RNAcentral.